Molecule: ribosomal RNA, 500 nt
Filed under: uncultured bacterium
Lineage: Bacteria
Description: bacterial SSU rRNA
Rfam family: Bacterial small subunit ribosomal RNA
Source: RNAcentral
GACGAACGCUGGCGGCGUGCCUAAUACAUGCAAGUCGAGCGGACCAAAGGGAGCUUGCUCCUGGAGGUCAGCGGCGAACGGGUGAGUAACACGUGGGCAACCUGCCUGUAAGACUGGGAUAACAUCGAGAAAUCGGUGCUAAUACCGGAUAAUAAAAAGAACUGCAUGGUUCUUUUUUGAAAGAUGGUUUCGGCUAUCACUUACAGAUGGGCCCGCGGCGCAUUAGCUAGUUGGUGAGGUAACGGCUCACCAAGGCAACGAUGCGUAGCCGACCUGAGAGGGUGAUCGGCCACACUGGGACUGAGACACGGCCCAGACUCCUACGGGAGGCAGCAGUAGGGAAUCUUCCGCAAUGGACGAAAGUCUGACGGAGCAACGCCGCGUGAGUGAUGAAGGUUUUCGGAUCGUAAAACUCUGUUGUUAGGGAAGAACAAGUGCCGUUCGAAAGGGCGGCACCUUGACGGUACCUAACGAGAAAGCCACGGCUAACUACGUGCCAG